This 450-nucleotide ribosomal RNA is filed under the name uncultured Nocardioides sp. Its description in RNAcentral is "bacterial SSU rRNA". It matches the Rfam family "Bacterial small subunit ribosomal RNA", at positions 58 to 525 of the family's 1533-position model. Lineage: Bacteria; Bacillati; Actinomycetota; Actinomycetes; Propionibacteriales; Nocardioidaceae. The record is from RNAcentral.
CAAGUCGAGCGGUAGCCCCUUCGGCGGUCACGAGCGGCGACGGGUGAGUAAAAAAGAAACAAUCUGCCCUUCACUUCGGGAUAACCACCGGAAACGGUGGCUAAUACCGGAUACGACCAUCCCGGGCAUCUGGUGGUGGUGGAAAGUUCCGGCGGUGGAGGAUGAGCUCGCGGCCUAUCACCUUGUUGGUGGGGUAAUGGCCUACCAAGGCGACGACGGGUAGCCGGCCUGAGAGGGUGACCGGCCACACUGGGACUGAGACACGGCCCAGACUCCUACGGGAGGCAGCAGUGGGGAAUAUUGGACAAUGGGCGAAAGCCUGAUCCAGCAACGCCGCGUGAGGGAUGACGGCCUUCGGGUUGUAAACCUCUUUCAGCGCCGACGAAGCGAAAGUGACGGUAGGCGCAGAAGAAGCACCGGCCAACUACGUGCCAGCUGCUUUUGGUAAUA